This is a transfer RNA of Operophtera brumata (winter moth), 58 nucleotides long. It matches the Rfam family "tRNA", at positions 8 to 63 of the family's 71-position model. Rfam says of the family: Transfer RNA (tRNA) molecules are approximately 80 nucleotides in length. The record is from Rfam. Lineage: Eukaryota; Metazoa; Arthropoda; Insecta; Lepidoptera; Geometridae.
UGGCUAAAUUGGUAAAAGCAUCGCCGAUUACAUGCGAAGAUGCGGGUUCGAGUCCCGC